RNAcentral lists this transfer RNA (65 nucleotides) under Tanyptera hebeiensis. RNAcentral's name for it is "tRNA-Glu". The record is from RNAcentral. Lineage: Eukaryota; Metazoa; Arthropoda; Insecta; Diptera; Tipulidae.
AUUUAUAUAGUUUAUUAAAACCUUACAUUUUCACUGUAAAAAUAAAGAAUUUUCUUUUAUAAAUU